RNAcentral lists this ribosomal RNA (564 nucleotides) under uncultured Planctomycetota bacterium. RNAcentral's name for it is "bacterial SSU rRNA". It matches the Rfam family "Bacterial small subunit ribosomal RNA", at positions 335 to 894 of the family's 1533-position model. Lineage: Bacteria; Pseudomonadati; Planctomycetota. The record is from RNAcentral.
CACCUACGGGUGGCUGCAGUCGAGGAUCUUCGGCAAUGAGCGCAAGCUUGACCGAGCGACGCCGCGUGCGGGAUGAAGGCUUUCGGGUUGUAAACCGCUGUCAGUGGGGAGGAAAUUUAGGUGGGUACUCUCAUCUAAUUGACUUAUCCGCAGAGGAAGCAAGGGCUAAGUUCGUGCCAGCAGCCGCGGUAAGACGAACCUUGCUAACGUUAUUCGGAAUUACUGGGCUUAAAGGGUGCGUAGGCGGUGCAGAAAGUUGGGUGUGAAAGCCCUCGGCUCAACCGAGGAAUUGCGCCCAAAACUGCUGCACUAGAGGAAGACAGAGGUACGCGGAACUUAGGGUGGAGCGGUGAAAUGCGUUGAUAUCCUAAGGAACACCGGUGGCGAAAGCGGCGUACUGGGUCUUAUCUGACGCUGAGGCACGAAAGCUAGGGGAGCGAACGGGAUUAGAUACCCCGGUAGUCCUAGCCGUAAACUAUGAGCACUUGAUUGGAGGGUCCUCCAUAGCCUUCCAGUCGUAGCGAAAGUGUUAAGUGCUCCGCCUGGGGAGUAUGGUCGCAAGGC